AUUGAACGCUGGCGGCAGGCCUAACACAUGCAAGUCGAGCGGAGCGGCGGACGGGUGAGUAAUGCCUAGGAAUCUGCCUGGUAGUGGGGGAUAACGUCCGGAAACGGGCGCUAAUACCGCAUACUAUCAGAUGAGCCUAGGUCGGAUUAGCUAGUUGGUGGGGUAAAGGCCUACCAAGGCGACGAUCCCUAGCUGGGAUGAGAGGAUGACCAGCCACAAUGGAACGGAGACACGGUCCAGACUCCUACGGGAGGGAGCAGGGGGGAAUAUUGCACAAUGGGCGCAAGCCGGAUGUAGACAUGCCGCGUGUAUGAAGAAGGCGGUCGGGUGGUAAAGUACUUUCAGCGGGGAGGCGUUACCCUCAGAAGAAGCACCUGCUAACGCCGUGCCAGCAGCCGAGGUAAUAC
RNAcentral lists this ribosomal RNA (407 nucleotides) under uncultured bacterium. RNAcentral describes it as "partial 16S ribosomal RNA". It matches the Rfam family "Bacterial small subunit ribosomal RNA", at positions 29 to 526 of the family's 1533-position model. The record is from RNAcentral.